CCGGCGACCGGCGCACGGGUGAGUAACACGUAUGCAACCUGCCCUCUUCAGGGGGACAACCUUCCGAAAGGGAGGCUAAUCCCGCGUAUAUCGGUUUCGGGCAUCCGAGAUCGAGGAAAGACUCAUCGGAAGAGGAUGGGCAUGCGGCGCAUUAGCUAGACGGCGGGGUAACGGCCCACCGUGGCGACGAUGCGUAGGGGUUCUGAGAGGAAGGUCCCCCACACUGGUACUGAGACACGGACCAGACUCCUACGGGAGGCAGCAG
This 265-nucleotide ribosomal RNA is filed under the name uncultured bacterium. Its description in RNAcentral is "partial 16S ribosomal RNA". It matches the Rfam family "Bacterial small subunit ribosomal RNA", at positions 88 to 354 of the family's 1533-position model. The record is from RNAcentral.